GCACUGCUGACGAGUCCCAAACACGGCGAAACAGCUGUCCAGUGC
RNAcentral lists this non-coding RNA (45 nucleotides) under Echinostoma caproni. The record is from RNAcentral. Lineage: Eukaryota; Metazoa; Platyhelminthes; Trematoda; Plagiorchiida; Echinostomatidae.